AACGCACCUUGCACUCUUUGGUAUUCCGAAGAGUAUGUCUGUUUGAGUGUCAUGAAACUCUCAACCCCCUUGUUUUGUAAUGAAACUAGUGCGGGCUUGGAUUAUGGCUGUUGCCGGCGUAAUUGUCGACUCGGCUGAAACACACGAGCUACCCGAUUUCUAAGAAAUAGACGGUUUGACUCGGCGUAAUAACAUAUUUCGCUGAGGACGUCACAUUCUUAAUAUUCAGUGGUGCUUCUAAUGCGACAUCUAAACUUUAGCUUUAGACCUCAAAUCAGUCAGGACUACCCGCUGAACUUAA
This 301-nucleotide unclassified non-coding RNA is filed under the name uncultured fungus. RNAcentral describes it as "partial contains 5.8S ribosomal RNA, internal transcribed spacer 2, and large subunit ribosomal RNA". The stretch from base 1 to 52 matches the Rfam family "5.8S ribosomal RNA", at positions 103 to 154 of the family's 154-position model. The record is from RNAcentral. Lineage: Eukaryota; Fungi.